Molecule: long non-coding RNA, 3159 nt
Organism: Mus musculus (house mouse)
Lineage: Eukaryota; Metazoa; Chordata; Mammalia; Rodentia; Muridae
Product: predicted gene, 34941
Exons: 2
Source: RefSeq, a predicted model, not a curated record
GAGAAACCCUGUCUCAAAAAAAAAACAACAAAAAAAGUCUUACUUUUAUGUAUAUUGGUGGAUUGCCUACAUGAAUAUCUGUGUAAGACCUGCAUGCCUGGUACCCUUGGAAGCCAGAAGGGGGUUGUUGGAGUCCCUGGAACUGGAGUCACAAUGACUGAAGGUCAUCUCUAGCCCCAUCUGUUUUUGUUUUGGUUCUGCUGUGUUAAGUUGUAAAGUAGGAGGAGGUGCUGGGAAGGUGUCUGAGUGGUUGGAACAUGGGUUGCUCUUUUUUUUGUUUUGUUUUGUUUUUCAAGACAGGGUUUCUCUGUGUAGUCCUGGCUGUCCUGGAACUCACUCUGUAGACCAGGCUGGCCUCGAACUCAGAAAUUCGCCUGCCUUUGCCUCCCAAGUGCUGGGAUUAAAGGCAUGCGCCACCACGCCCUGCACAUGGGCUGCUCUUGCAGAGAACUCACAUUCCUCUUCCAGGGCCCAAAAGGAAGGAAGCUUACAAACACCUGAAAGUUAAUUUAGAAACCUGAUGCUCUCUUCUUGCUCCAUGGACACCAGGAACUUAUAUGGGUACACCUAUAUACAUGCAACACUCAUAUUAUACGUAUUAUAUAUACACAUAUUGUAUAUAUGCAUAUAUAUACACACACAUAUAUAUGUGUGUAUAUGUAUGCAUAUAUAUAUAUAUAUAUAUAUAUACAUUGACAUAUGAUUAAAAGAGUCAGUAAUGAAGAAGGAACUAUAGAGGCAGAUCACUUUUUUUGGGUUUUUUUGUUUUUUGUUUUUUGGUUUUUUGGUUUUUUUGAGACAGGGUUUCUCUGUGUAGCUCUGGGUGUCCUGGAACUCACUUUGUAGACCAGGCUGGCCUCGAACUCAGAAAUCCACCUGCCUCUGCCUCCCAAGUGCUGGGAUUAAAGGCUUGCACCACCACACCCGGCUUGUCGGAUCACCUUUAAUAAUAAAUCUUUAACAUUAAAAAAAAAAAACAACCUAAAAAUUCCACUUUUAAAUCUUUAUUCCUUUCUUUUUUUUUCUUUGUUGUAAUCUAAUUCCUUUUUUUAUUAUUAUUAUUUUGGUUUUGGGCGAACAACAACAACAACAACAAAACAAAAACAAACAAACAAAAAAAAAACAAAAUCUAGACACCCAGUUAAAUUUAGAGAGCCAGGCUUGGCAUGUAGGAAUUGGCUGGCCAACCAAACUAGACUGUUAAACAGUUUGUCUUUUACUGAGAUAUAUUUACACCGGAAAAUCUCAAUUCAUCUCAAAUUUGAAUUUGACUAGGUGUCUGGUUUUUGGUUUUUUUGUUUUGUUUUGUCUUGUUUUGGUUUUGUUUCUUGGUUGUUGUUUUUUCUCUCUCUCUUUUUCUAGAGAAUUUCAACAAUAAAAAACUCAUAGUAGUCUGGAGGUGUUAUUUUGGCUUUGUUGGUGGUGGUUUUUUUUAAGGUUUUAUUUUCCCCCAACUCCUAAGGAUUAAGGAUUAAGAAUUAAGAAUAUUAAGAAUUCUAUGACCUGCUGCAAUCUUGGAGUAGGACAAUACCUUCAUGGCUCAAAUAUGUCAAACAGCAGACGAUACCUAUUUGUCAACGUAUAUGGCCAAAACAAGGUAUGUGGCAUGAUGAUAGAGCCAGAAACCCGUCCCCAGAUAAGGAAACAGAGACCCUGGCACACUGAGCUGAACAGCAGUGAGGGCAAGCAGAACUGGAAGCCAGCUGCCACCCGUGCUAGAGGAACAGGUUGGAAAAACGAAAGUUCACCAAAAUCACAAAUGUCUGAGGCUUGACAUAUGGCUCGGUUGAUAGGGUUCUUGCCUAAAAUUCUCAAGGCCCAUGUUGGAUCCCAAAUGCUACUCCGAACCAGGCCAAAGUAGGUUGUGGUAAACACCUGCAGUCCCAGCAUUUGGGAGGUAGAGGCAAAAGGAUCGAUGACUUCAGCCCCAGAGAGAGCAGAAGGCCAAUAACGCCACUUUAACAAACAAAGAAAGAGUUAGAAAUAUUAAAAUAGCAUCACAUUAAGAUAAUCAGGAGUUUGCCUUUUGAUUGGGUCAUGUGGUUUUACUUAAAAGUUAAAGCAUACAGGUACACACUGGAUGGUGUUCGCCUGUCUUCGGGCUGACUUGAACCGUAAAACUUUCAGAAACCCAGAACAUCAGUAGAACUUUCCUGGUCAAAAUGCUCAGAGGAGCCCACCAUGGCCUCAAUGGGCCGGGCGGUCCUUCCUUGCUUUGGAUAAGGCUUUCGAGAUAGGGUCGAAUUCGGUCCUGCUCUUCCCCCUAACACAUCCGCCCUUGCUUUCUUUGACCUGCAGAGCCCUGUGGGACAUAAACGCUAUUAUAUAACGGCCCCUCCCAUCGUGCUUUCACUGGCCUUUGAUAGGACUUAAAAGGUGAUUACAUAGCUUCAUUUAUUUCUUUGAAUACUCAAGUUUCAUGGUCAUUAAAGUAAUCACAGACUCAUCUCGGUCCCCAUGUGAGGGCAAUGCGGCAGUCUCUUCUUUAACCAGGAUAUCUCUCUCUCUCUCUCUCUCUCUCUCUCUCUCUCUCUCUCUCUCCACCCCCCUUUGGUCAUCACCUCUCCCCUGCUCGAUAGUCCCCUUCCCCCUUCAAACCUACCAUAAAAGACUACAAUAAUUUAAAUUUUGUCAACGAAUCAUGACAUUUAUUCAACUGGUCUCCAAACCACGAGAAGCUGGGUCUUGCACUGUUGAGAGCAAGCAAUAGCAAAGAGCAGCUCAGCAAGGAAAGGGUUAAUCGGCCAUGGUCACUUGUACCACGAGGCCACAUAGAGAAGUCCGUCGUCCUUACCGCCCCCCCCCCUCCCCAUCUUCCUCAAGGAAGAGGAAAGAUCCUGCCUGGGCAGGAGGCCACGGGAGGAUGCGAUCGAUGAGUGCCCGCGUUUUGCUUUUUCUUCCAGGGAGACAAGAUUGGAGAGCUGUGUGUUCCAAAUAACAACUAUCAGUCUCGUCUGGUCUACGUUGUUCUGGCUUUAUUUGAUUACUUUUGUUAGAGAUGAUGCCCAUACUUUUCCUUGGGAACUUAUUUACUGGGAUGAGAAAAGGGAAAAAAAGGUCACAUAAACUUCAUCUGAAUCAAUUUUGCAUCUGUAAAUCCCAGUGAUUUUUUUUUCCCAAUUCUAAAAUCGAUAUAAAUGUCAUAUCAUGAUGGCUAGA